RNAcentral lists this ribosomal RNA (115 nucleotides) under Campylobacter jejuni subsp. jejuni 305. The record is from RNAcentral. Lineage: Bacteria; Pseudomonadati; Campylobacterota; Epsilonproteobacteria; Campylobacterales; Campylobacteraceae.
CACAUCUGUAUAAUCACGGACAUUGUUAUUUAAAUAUUCUUUGAAAGACUGAAUUUAAGAAUAAAGCCUAAUCUUUUAUUUCUUUACUUUUUUCUUUAUUCUCUUUCUUCUUUAU